RNA transcript from Alligator mississippiensis (American alligator), 3248 nucleotides. RefSeq lists it as uncharacterized. The transcript is spliced from 3 exons. The record is from RefSeq and is a predicted model, not a curated record. Lineage: Eukaryota; Metazoa; Chordata; Crocodylia; Alligatoridae.
GACCACCUGCAGACGCUGCCGGCGACUGCCCGCUGGCACCACCAACAGUGUCGGUGGAGUCUUUUUGCAGGGGGUACACCACCACGUGCACCCCUGCUGUUUACACACGCGUUUAAGCAGUAUAAUUUACUUUGCCACUGGAUACUACUUGCAUCUGACGGGACUAUCCCGCAGCGCAGUAAAUUAGUCUACCGUAUCCUAUUUGCCAUGCACAUGUAGAUGGUGAUGUUUUACUGUGCAGCUAAUUAGUCUGCUCCACAGUAAAGCGUCUCAUGUGGACACACAUUCUACGUGCUAGUUGGGUUAGUCCCCAAGCUGGCCUGCUACCAGGACCCUCAAGGUAUGAGUCUUCCUGCCCCUCCACACCAAUCCUUCUGCAUUUGGGACUCUUUGGAGCAGGAUUUCAUUGAGCCUACUCUGAAUCUAAACUUCUGUUUAGUAACUGGUCAUAUUCUAGUGACAUCUACAUAUGAAGAUUCAGUCUGCAGCUCUUUGUAUAUGAGCUACUCUCAUGUGGUCUGUUUGUUUAGGGACUUGGUUUUAUAAAACACCUGUGCACACAGGGUAUAAGAAUUCACUGUAAAGCAAGCUGUCUUACAGAAUAGGAGUACAGUGUGGAGGCAAUACACUUACAGCAAUGGUAAGUCUUUUUUCUUGUGUGAGAUAUUUAUUUCUAUUUUAAAAGUAUGAUAUAAUUGGAUUAUCCUAUUAGAUGCUUUCCAAUGUCUAUAGAAUGGGUAUCUUCCUAGAAAUGAUCACUUAGGGAUGUUUGCUAUGAAAGAGGUUACUGGCAUUACCAUUGUCUCAUUUCCUGAGAAUUUUUAUUUAACACUGAAGGAUUAAAUUUCCUUUGUCCAUAAACAGAUUGUUGCAAAUACUGUAUUAAUGUUCCAUUGCUGGUUUCCAAAGUUUGCUUUCUUUUGUUUAUGCUUUCUGCCCUGGAGACUGAAUUCCCAUCAAUAGUACUGAGCCCCAGUAAAAGUCUGGCCUUCUGUUUCUGCAGAACUGGAGAAAUUUUAGAAGACAUGAACUAGAACUACUUAAUUUUUUUCAAAUGUAAAAAUAGUGUUUUCUUGACACUUUGUAAGAGAUUUUUAAAUCUUUUUAGUUUUUUAUCAUAACUUUUUGGGAAGUAUUUUCUUUAUUCUGGUACUUAAUUAAUGAAAGCCUUGAUAAUGUUUUCUGUUAAUUUUUCCCCUUCCAAAUAACUCUAAAAUGGGACUAUUCCUACAAAUCCGAAAGUAAUUUGAAACUUUUAGUGAAUUUCUUAUUCUUAAAUCACAACUAUUAAUUCAUCAGCCUUAACAUACCCUGCUAUUACAGCAUUUAGCUUUGCCAAGCCACAUAGGGUAAUGAUCCUCAACCAAGGUGCCACAGCAUCCUGGGGUGCCUUGAGAUCUUUUCAAAGGUGCUUCAGGAUUCCACACAAUGUUAGCACUGUUAGGUGUGCAAACAUAAUUCACAAGAUAAACCCAUAGAUUUCAAAUAGAAAUCCAUAGCUAUGAUCUUUCUGAGUUCCUUGCAACAGAAAAACUGCUCUAUUUUCUGUAGGAAAAAAAAAAAAAUAUGGCGAAACCUAGAGCUAGCAUUUUCCAAGGGAUGCCUCAAGUCUCCAAAUGUUGAGAAUCGCUGAUAUAGAGGAACCAUAUUUUUUAAAAGUUUCACCACACCCUUACUCUUGUGCAGCAAUUAUUCUGAAACCCAGAUAAAUUAACUUACUGUGGUUCAAUAGAUUUUAAUGCCAAUGGUUCCUUUAUAAGAUGUCAUGCUCUUUUAAAUUUAUUUGCAUAUUAUUUAACUUACUUUAAAAUUAAAUGCAAAGUGCCCUCAUUUCUUCUAGAGUAGCUGGGUUACCUUGUUAAAAAAUACCUUCCCAAAUUCUCUGUGGUCCCAUGAGGGUGGGAAUUUCCAUUGAACAAUGCCAUGGAUAUAGUAUUGUGGGACUGGAAAAAAGGAGCACAUGAUCAGUGUGAUGAAACUUUUUCUUCUAAUUAUGAUCAAUUAUUUGGGAAACCAGUCCAACAAGGUGAAGACCUCUGGUACACACCAUUACAGGUGUUAGAAUCUAAGCCUGAACUCUGUUUUCAUUUACAGCCAUGAAACCCCACAAGUUACAGAUGGCAGAGGGCAGAAUUAAGCAGUCUCUUGGCAAGUGAAGUUUUUGUGAGUUAGGUGAAGGAAGAUUGGUUUAUAACAAAUGGCUUGAUGGCCUGAUUCAGUUUCACUAUACCAGUAGCAUAACAAUGAAGGGAGGGAGAGAGAGGCCAUGAAAAGAAUGGCAGCUGUGCCACCACCCGGCCAGCAGCUGUGCCACCACCGGGCCAGCAGCAGCUCAGACACUGAUGCUGCCCUGUGUGCAGCUGAGUCCCAGAGUGCUCAAGUGCCCAGUUAUGCCUCUGCUCUGUAACUACGUACUUAAAUAUCAUGAGUCUGUGCAUGGCAGAGGACGUCACAGCUGGGAAUCCAUUUGGGAUAAUACCAAGUGUCACUUCUAAUGGGACUAUAUAUUUCUUUUUUUUUUAAUUUCUUAUUAAGGAAAAUGGAAAGUCAUACACUAAUAUUUUAAUACUCUUUGGAACAGUUCCCUUUUUUUCAGUGCUAACAAAGAUAUUUUCUGACCAUUUUAAUUCAAAUGCCAUCUAAAUUUUGCUAUGGGCCUGGUCUUCUCUUACAGAAGAGCUUCCUGGGUUUCCUCUUUGCCACUGGCAUCUUGGUAAUACUAUGUGAUACAUAUUGCUUUUUUCAAGCAAAUGACCCAGCAAUAUCUACUGAAGGUUGUGUUCAAGAUGGAAAGAUACACAAGUUUGGUACCAACUGGAGAACAGAGGAUUGCCACAGAUGUAACUGCAGCUGGCAUGGAUUAAGUUGUUGCUCCAUUUUUAUUGAACCAGGGGAUUAUGACAGAGAGACAUGUGUGAGCAUUUUUAAUAAAAACACCUGUCGCUACACUGUGGUGGAGAAGGCCAACCCCUCAAAAACCUGUGUGGUCUAUUCUUGGGUGGGCUAACAGGCUACCUGCUCACAUUUUUCUCUGCCUAGUGAGUCUCCUUCCCCUUCUAGAGAUGAUCAGCCAUGGAAGAAUCCCUUCUUCAAUCAGAGAUUUACGGAGGAAUUUUGAGCUUUGUUACUAGCAUGUUAUGACUAGUGCAGUCUGUUCUGAGAGAAUGCACUGCACUGCUUCUGUGUGGUUUCUGCUGUUACCUUCCCUGUUUACAAAACGUUGAGCAAAAUACACUUGUGGCAUAUGA